RNAcentral lists this ribosomal RNA (443 nucleotides) under uncultured bacterium. Its description in RNAcentral is "partial 16S ribosomal RNA". It matches the Rfam family "Bacterial small subunit ribosomal RNA", at positions 338 to 795 of the family's 1533-position model. The record is from RNAcentral.
CCUACGGGAGGCAGCAGUGGGGAAUAUUGCGCAAUGGGGGCAACCCUGACGCAGCAACGCCGCGUGAUUGAAGAAGGCCUUCGGGUUGUAAAGAUCUUUAAUUGGGGACGAAACAACUGACGGUACCCAAAGUAUAAGCUCCGGCUAACUACGUGCCAGCAGCCGCGGUAAUACGUAGGGAGCAAGCGUUAUCCGGAUUCACUGGGUGUAAAGGGCGAGUAGGCGGGCUGGCAAGUUGGGAGUGAAAUCCCGGGGCUUAACCCCGGAACUGGUUUCAAAACUGCUGGUCUUGAGUGAUGUGGAGGCAGGCGGAAUUCCGGGUGUAGUGGUGAAAUGCGUAGAUAUACGAAGGAACACCGAUGGCGAAGGCAGCCUGCUAGACAUUAACUGACGCUGAGGAGCGAAAGCGUGGGGAGCAAACAGGAUUAGAUACCCGAGUAGUC